AUGGCCGCCCUAACCCAAGGCGCCAUUGACGGGCUGCUGGGCGUCGCGGCCAAGGCGAUCACCGACGAGGCACAACUGAUCGGCGGCGUCCCCGGCGACAUGCAGUUCAUCAAGGAUGAGAUGAACAGCAUGAAUGGGUUCCUGCUGCACCUGACCAAGACGGAGGGCCAGCACGACGACCAGGUCCGCGCAUGGAUGAAGCAGGUGCGCGAGAUCGCCUACGUCGCCGAGGACUGCGUCCAGCGCUACAUCCACGACAUGGUCCCGAAUGAAGCUGCUUGUUGUAGAUCCCUGGGCGCCCUUGCCGCCAUGGCGCACCUACUCCUCCUCCACCCCAAGAAGUUUCGUCGGCUCCACACAGGGCCGUCUCCAGAAAUUUGGGGGCCCGGGACGAAAAUCGAAAUAGGGCUCUAA
Molecule: ribosomal RNA, 414 nt
Filed under: Triticum aestivum (bread wheat)
Lineage: Eukaryota; Viridiplantae; Streptophyta; Magnoliopsida; Poales; Poaceae
Description: partial small subunit ribosomal RNA
Source: RNAcentral